This 465-nucleotide ribosomal RNA is filed under the name uncultured bacterium. Its description in RNAcentral is "partial 16S ribosomal RNA". It matches the Rfam family "Bacterial small subunit ribosomal RNA", at positions 338 to 795 of the family's 1533-position model. The record is from RNAcentral.
CCUACGGGAGGCAGCAGUGGGGAAUAUUGCGCAAUGGGCGAAAGCCUGACGCAGCGACGCCGCGUGAGGGAUGAAGGUCUUCGGAUCGUAAACCUCUGUCAGCAGGGAAGAACGGUCACUGUGCUAAUCAGCAGUGAAUUGACGGUACCUGCAAAGGAAGCACCGGCUAACUCCGUGCCAGCAGCCGCGGUAAUACGGAGGGUGCGAGCGUUAAUCGGAAUUACUGGGCGUAAAGCGCACGUAGGCGGUAUGUCAAGUCAAGGGUGAAAUCCCCGGGCUCAACGUGGGAACUGCCUUUGAAACUGGCAAACUGGAGUGUGGGAGAGGAUAGUGGAAUUCCAGGUGUAGGAGUGAAAUGCGUAGAUAUCUGGAGGAACAUCAGUGGCGAAGGCGACUAUCUGGCACAUAACUGACGCUGAGGAGCGAAAGCGUGGGUAGCAAACAGGAUUAGAUACCCUUGUAGUC